RNAcentral lists this ribosomal RNA (376 nucleotides) under uncultured bacterium. RNAcentral describes it as "partial 16S ribosomal RNA". It matches the Rfam family "Bacterial small subunit ribosomal RNA", at positions 338 to 724 of the family's 1533-position model. The record is from RNAcentral.
CCUACGGGAGGCAGCAGUGGGGAAUAUUGCGCAUUGGGCGAAAGCCUGACGCAGCGACGCCGCGUGAGGGACGAUGGCCUUCGGGUCGUAAACCGCUUUCAGCAGGGACGAGGCCCUCACGGUGCCGGUACCUGCAGCAGAAGCCCCGGCUAACUACGUGCCAGCAGCCGCGGUAAUACGGAGGGGGCGAGCGGUAUCCGGAUUCAUUGGGCGUAAGGCGCGCGGAGGCGGCCUGUUAGGUCGGGGGUCAAAUGCCGGGGCUCAACCCCGGUCCGCCCCCGAUACCGGCAGGCUUGAGUCUGGUAGGGGAAGGCGGAAUUCCGAGUGUAGCGGUGGAAUGCGCAGAUAUUGGGAAGAACACCGGCGGCGAAGGCGG